GAUGAACGCUGGCGGCGUGCCUAAUACAUGCAAGUCGAGCGAACAGACGCGGAGCUUGCUCCUCUGACGUUAGCGGCGGACGGGUGAGUAACACGUGGAUCACCUACCUAUAAGACUGGGAUAACUUCGGGAAACCGGAGCUAAUACCGGAUAAUCUAUUGAACCGCAUGGUUCAAUAGUGAAAGACGGUUUUGCUGUCACUUAUAGAUGGAUCCGCGCCGCAUUAGCUAGUUGGUACGGUAACGGCUUACCAAGGCGACGAUGCGUAGACGACCUGUGAGGGGGAUCGGCGACACUGGAACGGGGACACGGACAAGACUCCUACGGGAGGCAGCAGUAGGGAAUCUUCCGCAGUGGGCGAAAGCCUGACGGAGCAACGCCGCGUGAGUGAUGAAGGUCUUCGGAUCGUAAAACUCUGUUAUUAGGGAAGAACAAAUGUGUAAGUAACUAUGCACGUCUUGACGGUACCUAAUCAGAAAGCCACGGCUAACUACGUG
Molecule: ribosomal RNA, 497 nt
Filed under: uncultured bacterium
Lineage: Bacteria
Description: partial 16S ribosomal RNA
Rfam family: Bacterial small subunit ribosomal RNA
Source: RNAcentral